GUCCAGACUCCUACGGGAGGCAGCAGUGGGGGAUAUUGCACAAUGGGGGGAACCCUGACGCAGCGACGCCGCGUGGGUGAAGGAGCGUUUCGGCGCGUAAAGCCCUAUCGGCAGGGAAGAAGGAGGACGGUACCUGACUAAGAAGCCCCGGCUAACUACGUGCCAGCAGCCGCGGGAAUACGUAGGGGGCAAGCGUUAUCCGGAUUUACUGGGUGUAAAGGGAGCGUAGGCGGCAGUGCAAGUCAGAAGUGAAAGCCCGGGGCUCAACUCCGGGACUGCUUUUGAAACUGUACAGCUUGAUUGCAGGAGAGGCAAGUGGAAUUCCUAGUGUAGCGGUGAAAUGCGUAGAUAUUAGGAGGAACACCAGUGGCGAAGGCGGCUUGCUGGACUGUAAAUGACGCUGAGGCUCGAAAGCGUGGGGAGCAAACAGGAUUAGAUACCCUUGUA
RNAcentral lists this ribosomal RNA (447 nucleotides) under uncultured bacterium. RNAcentral describes it as "partial 16S ribosomal RNA". It matches the Rfam family "Bacterial small subunit ribosomal RNA", at positions 329 to 792 of the family's 1533-position model. The record is from RNAcentral.